This 204-nucleotide ribosomal RNA is filed under the name Triticum aestivum (bread wheat). RNAcentral's name for it is "partial small subunit ribosomal RNA". Lineage: Eukaryota; Viridiplantae; Streptophyta; Magnoliopsida; Poales; Poaceae. The record is from RNAcentral.
AUGUCCUCCAUCAAGAUCUCGAAUGAAACUAUCCAUGGAAUCGUGCGCCGUGUGAAACGUAGAUCAUCGUCAUUCGAAGCCGCCGUGGGGUUAGGAGUAAAGCAUCCCGAGGUUGGCACCUCUCGUUGGGCGUGGAGAAGCAUUGGGAACCCCAAUAUGUUUCUUUGGAGCAAUUUCUUUUCCCGUCCCCUCCCCCCGGCAUAG